RNAcentral lists this ribosomal RNA (498 nucleotides) under uncultured bacterium. Its description in RNAcentral is "partial 16S ribosomal RNA". It matches the Rfam family "Bacterial small subunit ribosomal RNA", at positions 30 to 523 of the family's 1533-position model. The record is from RNAcentral.
AUUGAACGCUGGCGGCAUGCCUUACACAUGCAAGUCGAACGGUAACAGGUCUUCGGAUGCUGACGAGUGGCGAACGGGUGAGUAAUACAUCGGAACGUGCCUAGUAGUGGGGGAUAACUACUCGAAAGAGUGGCUAAUACCGCAUGAGAUCUACGGAUGAAAGCAGGGGAUCGCAAGACCUUGUGCUACUAGAGCGGCCGAUGGCAGAUUAGGUAGUUGGUGGGAUAAAAGCUUACCAAGCCGACGAUCUGUAGCUGGUCAGAGAGGACGAUCAGCCGCACUGGGACUGAGGAACGGCCCAGACUCCUACGGGAGGCAGCAGUGGGGAAUUUUGGACAAUGGGCGCAAGCCUGAUCCAGCAAUGCCGCGUGCAGGAUGAAGGCCUUCGGGUUGUAAACUGCUUUUGUACGGAACGAAAAGCCCCGGGUUAAUACCCUGGGGUCAUGACGGUACCGUAAGAAUAAGCACCGGCUAACUACGUGCCAGCAGCCGCCGCCG